GAUAAACGCUGGCGGCGUGCAUAACACAUGCAAGUCGAACGAUGAAACUUAGAUGAUUUCUUCGGAAUGAACUUAAGCGGAUUAGUGGCGAACGGGUGAGUAACACGUGAGUAACCUGCCUUACACAAGGGGAUAGCCUUUGGAAACGAAGAAUAAUACCCUAUAACGUCAAUUUAUCGCAUGAUAGAAUGACCAAAGAUUUAUCGGUGUAAGAUGGACUUGCGUCUGAUUAGCUAGUUGGUGAGAUAAAGGCCCACCAAGGCAACGAUCAGUAGCCGGCUUGAGAGAGUGUACGGCCACAUUGGGACUGAGACACGGCCCAAACUCCUACGGGAGGCAGCAGUGGGGAAUUUUGCACAAUGGGGGAAACCCUGAUGCAGCGACGCCGCGUGAUUUAGAAGGCCUUCGGGUUGUAAAAAUCUUUUUUAUGGGAUGAAAAUGACAGUACCAUAAGAAUAAGGUCCGGCUAAAUACGUGCCAGCAGCCGCGGUAAUACGUAUGGACCGAGCGUUGUCCGGAAUCAUUGGGCGUAAAGGGUACGUAGGCGGCCCAGUAAGUUAGAAGUGAAAUAAUAUAGCUCAACUAUAUAAAGCUUUUAAAACUGCUAGGCUUGAGAGAUGGAAGGGAAAGUGGAAUUCCUAGUGUAGCGGUGAAAUGCGCAGAUAUUAGGAAGAAUACCGGUGGCGAAGGCGACUUUCUGGUCAUCAUCUGACGCUGAGGUACGAAAGCGUGGGUAGCAAACAGGAUUAGAUACCCUGGUAGUCCACGCUGUAAACGAUGAGUGUUAGGUUCUUGGAAUAAUCUGGGAGCCGCAGCUAACGCAUUAAACACUAAAGGCUGGGGAGUACGCACGCAAGUGUG
RNAcentral lists this ribosomal RNA (861 nucleotides) under uncultured Clostridia bacterium. RNAcentral's name for it is "bacterial SSU rRNA". It matches the Rfam family "Bacterial small subunit ribosomal RNA", at positions 28 to 896 of the family's 1533-position model. Lineage: Bacteria; Bacillati; Bacillota; Clostridia. The record is from RNAcentral.